GAUGAACGCUGGCGGCGUGCCUAAUACAUGCAAGUCGAGCGAACAGACGAGGAGCUUGCUCCUCUGACGUUAGCGGCGGACGGGUGAGUAACACGUGGAUAACCUACCUAUAAGACUGGGAUAACUUCGGGAAACCGGAGCUAAUACCGGAUAAUAUAUUGAACCGCAUGGUUCAAUAGUGAAAGACGGUUUUGCUGUCACUUAUAGAUGGAUCCGCGCCGCAUUAGCUAGUUGGUAAGGUAACGGCUUACCAAGGCAACGAUGCGUAGCCGACCUGAGAGGGUGAUCGGCCACACUGGAACUGAGACACGGUCCAGACUCCUACGGGAGGCAGCAGUAGGGAAUCUUCCGCAAUGGGCGAAAGCCUGACGGAGCCACGCCGCGUGAGUGAUGAAGGUCUUCGGAUCGUAAAACUCUGUUAUUAGGGAAGAACAAAUGUGUAAGUAACUAUGCACGUCUUGACGGUACCUAAUCAGAAAGCCCCGGCUAACUACGUG
Molecule: ribosomal RNA, 497 nt
Filed under: uncultured bacterium
Lineage: Bacteria
Description: partial 16S ribosomal RNA
Rfam family: Bacterial small subunit ribosomal RNA
Source: RNAcentral